This 924-nucleotide ribosomal RNA is filed under the name Ascocoryne sp. PJ-2021g. RNAcentral describes it as "partial large subunit ribosomal RNA". It matches the Rfam family "Eukaryotic large subunit ribosomal RNA", at positions 23 to 964 of the family's 3401-position model. Lineage: Eukaryota; Fungi; Ascomycota; Leotiomycetes; Helotiales; Gelatinodiscaceae. The record is from RNAcentral.
ACCCGCUGAACUUAAGCAUAUCAAUAAGCGGAGGAAAAGAAACCAACAGGGAUUGCCUCAGUAACGGCGAGUGAAGCGGCAACAGCUCAAAUUUGAAAUCUGGCUCUUUCAGGGCCCGAGUUGUAAUUUGUAGAAGAUGCUUCGGGUGCGGCCCUAGUCUAAGUUCCUUGGAAGAGGACAUCAUAGAGGGUGAGAAUCCCGUCUGCGGCUAGGUGCCCGCGCACAUGUGAAGCUCUUUCGACGAGUCGAGUUGUUUGGGAAUGCAGCUCUAAAUGGGUGGUAUAUUUCAUCUAAAGCUAAAUAUUGGCCAGAGACCGAUAGCGCACAAGUAGAGUGAUCGAAAGAUGAAAAGCACUUUGGAAAGAGAGUUAAACAGUACGUGAAAUUGUUGAAAGGGAAGCGCUUGCAAUCAGACUUGCGCGCUGUUGAUCAUCCCAGGUUCUCCUGGGUGCACUCGGCGGCGCUCAGGCCAGCAUCGGUUCCAGUGGUGGGAGAAAGGCCUUAGGAAUGUAGCUCCUCUCGGGGAGUGUUAUAGCCUCUGGUGGAAUGCCGCCUACCGGGACCGAGGACCGCGCUCCGGCUAGGAUGCUGGCGUAAUGGUUGUAAGCGACCCGUCUUGAAACACGGACCAAGGAGUCUAACAUCUAUGCGAGUGUUUGGGUGUCAAACCCAUACGCGGAAUGAAAGUGAACGGAGCUAAGAACCCUCUAGGGUGCAUUAGCGACCGAUCCCGAUGUCUUCGGACGGAUUUGAGUACGAGCAUAGCUGUUGGGACCCGAAAGAUGGUGAACUAUGCCUGAAUAGGGUGAAGCCAGAGGAAACUCUGGUGGAGGCUCGCAGCGGUUCUGACGUGCAAAUCGAUCGUCAAAUUUGGGCAUAGGGGCGAAAGACUAAUCGAACCAUCUAGUAGCUGGUUCCUGCCGA